GAUGAAGAACGUAGCGAAAUGCGAUAAGUAGUGUGAAUUGCAGAAUUCAGUGAAUCAUCGAAUCUUUGAACGCACAUUGCGCCCCUUGGUAUCCCGAGGGGCAUGCCUGUUCGAGCGUCAUUUCACCACUCAAGCCUGGCUUGGUGUUGGGCGACGUCCCCUUUAGGGACGCGCCUCGAAACGCUCGGCGGCGUGGCACCGGCUUUAAGCGUAGCAGAAUCUUUCGCUUUGGAAGUCGGGGCCCCGUCUGCCGGAAGACCUACUCGCAAGGUUGACCUCGGAUCAGGCAGGGAUACCCGCUGAACUUAAGCAUAUCAAUAAGCGGAGGA
This 329-nucleotide unclassified non-coding RNA is filed under the name soil metagenome. RNAcentral describes it as "partial contains 5.8S ribosomal RNA, internal transcribed spacer 2, and large subunit ribosomal RNA". The stretch from base 1 to 120 matches the Rfam family "5.8S ribosomal RNA", at positions 35 to 154 of the family's 154-position model. The record is from RNAcentral.